AUGGCAUGGCUGAGGGAGGCAGGAAGACAGAAGGGAAAGUUACUUUUACCUGGUGGUGCAGAUGCUAUGGAUAAAGCAUUACCCAGGGGAUCUGUUACAGAGUGCUCUACAUCCACAUGUUGCAGAAGAACGUUUGCUGUCUCAUCCAUUGGAAAGACUCUCCCAGAGCAAAGCAGCCACAGGUCAGUGCUGCUGCUCUCUGCAGGGUGCGGGAAGGUACUGUGUGACUGCUCUGAGGACAAAGUGAGAGCAACUCGGGGGAAAAAGCCUCUCAGAUCCUGCUCCUCUAUUUCGGGUGGCAGAACAAGGUUCUGUUUGGAAAUGCCCCUAGUGCCAGCAGAGGAGCUUGGGUGCUCUGGGAGUGAUGUGAGCCCCACGUGAUUUGCCUCAAAUCAUCUUUCACUGCUCUUGCUACAUUCAUUACUAAGAUAAUUCAUUGUGAUUAACGCCAUUAAUGUGAGUAGCAGUGG
This 470-nucleotide long non-coding RNA is filed under the name Meleagris gallopavo (turkey). RNAcentral's name for it is "lncRNA (ENSMGAG00000017586.1)". Lineage: Eukaryota; Metazoa; Chordata; Aves; Galliformes; Phasianidae. The record is from RNAcentral.